CGUGAAUGUGACGUAUAAAAUAUUACAAACGUACUAAACACGUGCGACCUAUGCCUCUUCAAAGAAGCUAAGUUUAUCUUUUUUUUAACCUGCAUUCAUAUUUAUUUGGUAAAUAAAUAGGGGACAUGUAUUUGGUAGCUUGACUGAGAAAAAUUGUUUUCUUUGUCUUCCAUUGGGACUAAGAGAUAAAAUUUCUUACAUAUAUGGAGACAGAACAAAGGAUAUGUAUCGGUAUAUAUGUU
RNAcentral lists this long non-coding RNA (242 nucleotides) under Carica papaya (papaya). RNAcentral's name for it is "long non-coding RNA (CPAP_LNC000447)". Lineage: Eukaryota; Viridiplantae; Streptophyta; Magnoliopsida; Brassicales; Caricaceae. The record is from RNAcentral.